GACGAACGCUGGCGGCGUGCCUAAUACUUGCAAGUGGGACGCAAGGGAACACACUGUGCUUGCACACCGUGUUUUCUUGAGUCGCGAACGGGUGUGUAACGCGUAGGUAACCUGCCUAUUAGCGGGGGAUAACUAUUGGAAACGAUAGCUAAUACCGCAUAAUAUUAAUUAUUGCAUGAUAAUUGAUUGAAAGAUGCAAGCGCAUCACUAGUAGAUGGACCUGCGUUGUAUUAGCUAGUUGGUAAGGUAAGAGCUUACCAAGGCGACGAUACAUAGCCGACCUGAGAGGGUGAUCGGCCACACUGGGACUGAGACACGGCCCAGACUCCUACGGGAGGCAGCAGUAGGGAAUCUUCGGCAAUGGACGAAAGUCUGACCGAGCAACGCCGCGUGAGUGAAGAAGGUUUUCGGAUCGUACAAGCUCUGUUGUAAGUCAAGAACGUGUGUGAGAGUGGAAAGUUCACAC
This 466-nucleotide ribosomal RNA is filed under the name Streptococcus mutans. RNAcentral describes it as "bacterial SSU rRNA". It matches the Rfam family "Bacterial small subunit ribosomal RNA", at positions 28 to 469 of the family's 1533-position model. Lineage: Bacteria; Bacillati; Bacillota; Bacilli; Lactobacillales; Streptococcaceae. The record is from RNAcentral.